Molecule: long non-coding RNA, 2239 nt
Organism: Mustela erminea (ermine)
Lineage: Eukaryota; Metazoa; Chordata; Mammalia; Carnivora; Mustelidae
Exons: 7
Source: RefSeq, a predicted model, not a curated record
UGACACUGUCCCCAGCUCAGGGCAAAUCUUGAUUAGCUGAGUCCCCUUUCCUUAGGUGCGACUGUUCCAGUAUGGAUCAAGUUCUUCCAGUGACACAUGUGGACACAUCUCCUGGGGAGACUUCUGAGAAAGGUUUCCUCAUUCCCAGAAACAGACCCCUGGGGAGAGUCAUUUUCUUCUGCUGAUCAUGGUCAGGUCUGAGUCAAGCGGGCUGGAGCUCCAGCAACCUUCUUGUGAUGGGGAGGAAAGGAUGGAGACUGGGUCCUCCAUGACAUCCCCAAUUAUACCAACCACGGAGCUUCCCCACUUCAGGAAAUCUUGUUAAGUGACUUUGGGGGUGUUCGUAUUUAUGGCCAACCAGGAAAUCAAUGAAGAGAAAUCUCCAAAUGUCUUUAGACUAAGGACUUUUUAUGCCUUACACACUGUCUUCCAAAGAAGCCUUGCAAGUUCCUCUAGCUGAAAAUGCUUUGGCUGCUGCAACCGUUUCUCUCCUCUCAGGCCAUUGCUUUGUUUUCCUCACCUACCAACCAGGUUCCUCUGACAACUUUCUUGUAAGUUGCUCUGCUCCAAAACCAGCCCCCACAUUCAGGGGGCAGGGGUUGGGGGGGCAUCUGAGAGGCUGGACUCUUCACCCAGGUGACCUGAGGUAAUACCCCAGAUGGCCACUUGAUGGUGCCCAAGAAUCUUCUUCACUUUGCUCACAUGAUCCAGGGAUGGCUCAGUUCUUGCAAGCACAAGAUGCAUAGCUAUCAAAGAGACAAAACUUUCUCAUCUCUCCUCCCUGCGACUGUUUGAGGAUCUCCCUUGGGCUAUAGAGGCUGCCUUGCACACUAAGCUUGCCAGAAGUGCCCAGGAGUUAAUGUGCCUCUCCUCUGAGUCCGGGGCUACUGACCAGUGCGGGGGUCUGAGGAGGGACCCACUCCGAGGCAAGGAAUGUUCCUGGGUUUGUGUUUUGAUUUCCUACUCAGUUGAAGAUCUGCAACACCAAGUCAAAGUCUGUUACUCGAGGUCAACCGUGGUCCUCAUCGGAAGCUCCUGGGCAGCCUAAUGCUAAGUCACAGUGUCUCCGCCGGGGCCUCCUGUCUUCUCAUCACGGAGCCUUUCAUCAUCUGGCAUCCUCACAAGAAGAAGGGAGAGGACAGACCGUAAGAUGCCCAGACAGAGAGAGACCACAUUCACCUACCUUGUGUCACGGAGUACUGUGAUGAUUGUUCUGUUCUGAACGUGAAUCACUGCUGUCCGUCUCUUAGGGAGCCUGAUUGGUCCCCGAAGCUUUAUCACAGAGAGGAAGAAAGUCCUGUUUGUCCUUAUGAUUCAUGUUGGUGGUUUCUGGAUGAUGUUGUAUUGAUUCACGACGACUCCCUCGGCAUCUGGUGUGAGUUAAGUGGGGCUUUCUCUGGGUGACAGGAAAAUGCAAGAUCUGAAACAGGGCUAACGUGAGAAGGAGCCGGGUGGGAGCUCCGAGAGUUUGAGCAAUCCUCGGGGCUGGAGACGGUCCUGCUGGAUGCUGCACGGGCUGAGCAAAGUAAGCAGAGAGCGACAUGUGGCUUCAGUGUGGGGCGGCCCAUGACGGAAUGUCUGCUCCUCACUUUCGCGCCAAUGACUCCUCACAGGUCAGAGGGCUUCCCGUACUGUGUUGCUUUAUCCUGCUGCCAGUAUCCCGACUAGACCCACGGGGGAAGUAGAGGCAAACAAGCUGCCAUGGGUGUCCGAUCAGGGGCCCAGGUUUUCUCUGGUUGGUCCAUGACGCUUCCUGGAGAAUCCCGGAGCUUAUCUAGCAGUUCCGAAUGGGAGAUGAUCUGGCCACCUGUGGAGGCGUUUUUAGCUGUCGUGGCUGGAAGGGGACUCCUGGCCGCCAGUUUGCAGAGAGCUGGGAGGCCGCUCAACAUCCCACAGAGCACAGGACCGUCUCCACAACGAAGAAUUUUCCAGCCCCAGAUGUCAACAGAGCUAAGGUUAAGAAACUGCUCUAAUCCAAACCAACCCUUAAUCCCAAGUGACUUGAUGGUUUCAGGUCAUUAACUGACUUAAUGAAAAGGCCUCAAGUUAUGGUUAAAAAGAAAAAACAACAACCAAACAAACAGAUCUUUUGAAAAAUCAUGAAAUUACUGUUUAAAAACUAUACAGUUGACCCUUGAACAACAUGGCUUUGAACUGUGUGGGCCCCACUGAUACACAGAUUUUUUCCAUAAAUACAGUCCAGUCCUGUAUAUGUAUUUUCUUUUCCUUAUGAUUUUCU